RNAcentral lists this ribosomal RNA (220 nucleotides) under uncultured bacterium. RNAcentral describes it as "partial 16S ribosomal RNA". It matches the Rfam family "Bacterial small subunit ribosomal RNA", at positions 57 to 305 of the family's 1533-position model. The record is from RNAcentral.
GCAAGUCGAGCGCUACCUUCGGGGUGAGCGGCGGACGGGUGAGUAACGCGUGGGAAUAUGCCCUUCUCUAAGGAAUAGCCUCUGGAAACGGAGAGUAAUACCUUAUACGCCCUUUGGGGGAAAGAUUUAUCGGAGAAGGAUUAGCCCGCGUUAGAUUAGGUAGUUGGUGGGGUAAUGGCCUACCAAGGCAACGAUGAGUAGCUGGUCUGAGAGGAUGAUC